RNAcentral lists this microRNA (22 nucleotides) under Mus musculus (house mouse). RNAcentral describes it as "mmu-miR-337-3p". Its record names the gene mmu-miR-337-3p. The record is from miRBase by way of RNAcentral. Lineage: Eukaryota; Metazoa; Chordata; Mammalia; Rodentia; Muridae. RNAcentral also lists the same sequence under 1 other name.
UCAGCUCCUAUAUGAUGCCUUU